RNAcentral lists this long non-coding RNA (340 nucleotides) under Homo sapiens (human). RNAcentral describes it as "non-protein coding lnc-PTBP2-6:1". Lineage: Eukaryota; Metazoa; Chordata; Mammalia; Primates; Hominidae. The record is from RNAcentral.
CUACAGAAAUAAUUGUUGGCUUUGCAAAAUGACCCACCUCCUGGGAUGACUUUAAAUGAAAAGACUGUUCAAAAUUCAAUUACACAGUCAUGUUUACCAGUGAAAAUAUUCCUGUUCAUCCUCAUGAUUAUAGCAAUGGUCAUACCUGUUUAUCCAUUCUAACAGAAGACUGGUUCCCAGCGCUCUCCGUCCAAUCAGUUUGUCUUAGCAUUAUUAGCAUGCUUUCCAGCUGCAAAGAAAAGAGACGACCACCAGAUAAUUCUUUUUAUGUGCGAACACGUAACAAGAAUCCAAAGAAAACAAAAUGGUGGUAUCAUGAAGACGCUUGUUGAUGCCACUG